Molecule: ribosomal RNA, 433 nt
Filed under: uncultured bacterium
Lineage: Bacteria
Description: bacterial SSU rRNA
Rfam family: Bacterial small subunit ribosomal RNA
Source: RNAcentral
AGAGUUUGAUCCUGGCUCAGAACGAACGCUGGCGGCAGGCUUAACACAUGCAAGUCGAACGCCCCGCAAGGGGAGUGGCAGACGGGUGAGUAACGCGUGGGAAUCUACCCAGUUCUACGGAAUAACCCAGGGAAACUUGGACUAAUACCGUAUACGCCCUACGGGGGAAAGAUUUAUCGGAAUUGGAUGAGCCCGCGUUGGAUUAGCUAGUUGGUGGGGUAAUGGCCUACCAAGGCGACGAUCCAUAGCUGGUCUGAGAGGAUGAUCAGCCACACUGGGACUGAGACACGGCCCAGACUCCUACGGGAGGCAGCAGUGGGGAAUAUUGGACAAUGGGCGCAAGCCUGAUCCAGCCAUGCCGCGUGAGUGAUGAAGGCCUUAGGGUUGUAAAGCUCUUUCAGUAGGGACGAUAAUGACGGUACCUACAGAAGAG